GCUGCUUGACCCACCUGCCUGCCCUUUAGAUGAACUCAAAAGGAGGAAGCUUAGAAACCUCCUCCCCUUAGAGUCUCUUAGAAACAACAAUCAACUAUUGUUUUACAAAUGUUCUAACAGCAGGACGUUCUGCUUCUGUACUUUUCGCUUGCUUUACUAGUUCUAUCCCAUAGGGGGCCCUAGAAACUGCUGGCCUCAAAGGAGAGACCAGGAUCAGACAUCAGCGGUGUUUGGCCCCUCUGGACACCAGUCUGCGGAAAGAGAGGCCACCCUGACGGUAUUCCAGGGCUCUGGGUAGACCAGUCCCAGUCCGGCCCUAUCGCUGAUCAACCAACCCGCAGGAGUAUAUCGGGAAAGCCUCUAGAGAUCCUCUUCACCACUGAGGAGCGGGACUGCAUUUAUCAACAGCCAGUCAAAGAGGCCCUGGGGCCAAACCCCAGCAUCACUCCCAGAACUCUGGGGUAUUCAGCCAGGGCUGAAACAGUGGUUCUGUCGCAAUGCCCCAAAUGGGAC
RNAcentral lists this long non-coding RNA (513 nucleotides) under Heterocephalus glaber (naked mole-rat). Its description in RNAcentral is "lncRNA (ENSHGLG00100032836.1)". Lineage: Eukaryota; Metazoa; Chordata; Mammalia; Rodentia; Bathyergidae. The record is from RNAcentral.